Non-coding RNA from Lolium perenne, 3817 nucleotides. Lineage: Eukaryota; Viridiplantae; Streptophyta; Magnoliopsida; Poales; Poaceae. The record is from RefSeq and is a predicted model, not a curated record.
UCUUCAAGUUUGCACCAUGUUUUAAACUUCAUACUUGUAUAUACAGAGUUAGCUAACCCUUUAAUAAGUAGCACAUUUCUGUAUGUGAAUUUGUGUUGGCAUACUGUUGAUCUCUUUUAAUAUUGCAGCACCUGCCAAAUUUAGUCACAUUGGAAGAUGAUGUUGUUAUUGUUGCUUGUCUCAUGGAACAACACGGGUUAUUUACUUUUAAUAUUGCAGGGUCUGCCAAAUUUAGUCACAGUUAAAGAUGUUAAUGCUGAUGCUGUUUUUGUUGCUUGCCUCAUGGAAGAACACAUGGUUCUUCUAUCAGGAAAUUAUUAGAGAUCUACCGUACCCAAGCAGAUUGUUGAUCUCUCCGCGGAUUUCCUGUUGCGUGACAUCAAUGAGUAUGAAGAGUGGUAUGCCCAUGCUCAUAGGGCACCGGAACUUCAGGGUUUGAGACCCGUUUUCCAUGCCCCCUUCCUCGAUCUGUGGCUAUGCCGUUCUUAAGCUGGAGCGGCUGUGUUCUUGUACAGGUUUGUGCUUGUGUCUGGUUAUUGCUAGGGGAAUAGUGGACAGGUUUGCUCUCUUCCCCUGAAUCAUUUUUUGUAAAUAGGACCAAUCUUAUAUGAUUAUACAGCUUACUUGAUUAUUCGCUCUUCCCUGCUGGAAUGCAGUGAUUAAUUAAGCACAUGUAAUUUUCGCCAGCUGUAUUGAGGCCAUCUCACAGUGAACUAUAUGCUGAUAAAUUAGAAGGCAACUUUUCAAACCGUAUAAAAUAUUUUGUAUACAAUAUUAUUAGGUAGAGCUCAUUGCCUACUGUAUUUCACUAUUGUUUUGUUUGGGAGAGUAUCUUCGGGUUGCAUGGAUGGAAAUAGUUUCUUUGCAAAGGCGAUCAUUAUUAUCCGUUAACAUUACUUGUUCUGAAGUUACUCAUAGUGCGUUAACACGCAGAGCUUCUGAUUUAAUUCCCAUGGCCAAAUCACGGAACAUAGUCUUGAGUUUUGUGAGAUCAGUAACACUGUUUACUGAGUCACUCCUAUCUAUUUGUCUUUUUAGUACACAAUAUUAAAGGGUUAAGUUCAAGAACGUGCUUAUAGCUGUUGCAAAUGCUGGAGCGAUGCCUGAAGAUUCAUUACCUGGCAAAUUAUUUGCUUUAGUUGCCUGGUCAAAUACAUAUUUUGUUACGGCGCCCACCCUUCCUAUGUGUCUCUAUUGUUGCUUAUUUGUUUGGCCUUGUGUGCUAGCAGAACUGUUUUAUUCCAAUUAUUUUUUUGGAUGGUGUGCUUUAUACAUCCAAAUGUGAGCCUCAUCCAGCCAAGCAAGUCCUGCAGCCUACUGCUUGGAUCUGGUUGCGUGGUUCAGAGAUGGUAUUCAUUUUGUCGUCUUCUAUUCAUUUCAUGACAUUGUCAUUCGUGGCUUGGAUUCAACUUGCUCUUUGUCUUUAGGCUGGUUUUUUUUAGAGCUAAUAUGUGAGUUUUUUCUUUUCAAAUUUCUUUCUGAAUCUACUAAUUUUUGUGAUAGUUGAUGCAGUAAACAGCUAUUGUGCAUAAUCAUUAGUUGUAGGUUUAACUCUCAUGCACGAAACAAAUAUUGCUGUAUGAAUUUAUAUGCUUACUGUAUGGAUGUGAAACUAAUGUUUUCUUCUGCUUUUUUAUAUGAAAAUCUUCUCUUAAUCUUGCAGGUUAUAUUACUAUUUAAAUUUGCUACUCAUUCUGAUCCAACGAAACUAAACCAGUGGGUUUGAAAUUGCCGUUCAUGUCGGGUUAGCAUUUGUCCAUAUCUGUAGCAAUAACCUUAUUGGUUGUGUUCAGUUCUUAGUGCUUAUAGUUCAAAGCAACUGCUAUGUUUUGUGGCUGUUGCAAGGUGCUUCUUGGCUGGAAGAUGGUGGUCAGGCUAGCUGCCAAUUAAAUUUGCUGGAAGAUAUCUCAUUAAUUGCUUCAAAAUUUCUAGCACGUUUCUCAUGUGUUACAUUAGGAUUAUAUGGUACUGCACGCUAUUUUUUCAUGGUGUUUUACGGCUAGGAUUGAUGCUACCCCCUGGAGAAAUAUAGAUCGACAUGCAUAAGGUUUUCCACAUCAUUUAGAUAUGUUCAAAAACAAAAGAUUAUUGUAGAAGUAACACCAUGAGCCAACAGAGAGGAUGUGAAUAAUCUUGAACUACAAGUGUGCAAGUGGCUGCACACACCAUUAUGGCGAGGUGCUGGCAAGAGGUGGAGAUGAGCAUGAAGCUAUUGCUGCUCAAACCAUGUGAAAGGAGCAAAGAUCAACGCCAAAACAUGUAUGUUGUGAAUAAUUUAUCAUGUUCCAAUCUCCAUGCCCUCCUCCUCCCACGCCAAGUUUCCUCCCUUCAUGCAUCCUCUCCCAACCAUGGCGCUUUUGCCAUGGACCUGGUCGUUGCCGCCAUCGUCCUGGUGCAGGGGAGGAGUGUUGGCUGCCAGAGGCCAUCCAAGGCGCCAUCGCCGCCAUCCUUCGGGUCCUCUCGCCGCUUCCUCUGCCUUGCUAGAUGAGUUGUUGCUUGGUCCUCUCUCUCAUGGAAGUGCUGAUGCUCCUUUUGUCUCUAAUUUAUCACAAGCCGCUCUCCUUUUUUAUGUGUAUGUGUGCGUUCUGAUGUAGAUAUAUUGUUGCGGGCAAACUGUUCGAUGAUAUGCUUAUGAGGCAUGGAAACGUUCAUCCUUAUGGAUCUAUGGUUACAUCAGCAAGGAAGAUAUGCAUAGCUUUUCCUAUAAUGAAAAAUGGCCAUCGGAAACGUUCCAUGCCGCGCACAGGACCAGUAACCUCCACACCUAUCAAUUGGUUCCCUCUAGCCCCUGGUGUUUUUUAUACUACAGAGCAUGAAUAUAUUUUAUCAUUGUUUUGUAGUACGUCGUAUUAUCAGUAAAAUAGUUUGUUUGAUGGCUUAUAUAUGCACUUCUUCUUUUCAGGUUCAAUUUAGAGCCAUUGAUCUAUCAUAAAGCAUGAUGAUAAGUGUACUGCGGCAUGCAGGUUACUGUUGUUUGGACCAUGCAUCACAUAUUGUGGACUCUGAUCUUGCUGCCAAUUGAUGGACAUGAGUUUGAGGAAAACUACCAGCUUCCAUGAUUCAAUGCGUGUUGGACGCCUAUAUAUAGUGCAGAUUUCUGCUUAAUUAAUUAUUCUCUUGCACAUUCUUGGUAAGCUUUAAGAUCUGAUUUCAUCAAAUAUUCACUUGGGGGGCCAGUUUGCUCAUAAUCCGGAAACACAGAAGGUUAAGCUCUUCUAUUGAUAUUUCAAGCUAUAGUAUGUCUAAUGUGAGAAUUUCUUCGCCGGUUGUUAUUUUGAAUCUCUCUGUAUUUUAUCUUGCAUGUUGGUGCUGCCGUAGACUUCUCUUUCAAAUUUCAUUCGCAUAUAUGUGCUGGCAUUCUCAUAAGAUUCACACCUGUAUCAUGCAGGUUGUUGAGAUUCUAAAAAAUUUCAUCCUUGAUGCGAUGAUGAAGCCCAACCAUAAGUACGAGACCUACUCACAUGGCCGAGUAGGUAAAAUAGUGGCCACCAUCACAUUCUACCCAUCAAUUCACCGCCCUUGUCCUGCCUAUGGGAGUCUUAGCUGUGUAGAAGUCGUAUGGACAGUUUUGAGGAUGCAAAUAAGAUAAUAAAGGAUAAUCCAUGCUAAAUUAUUAUAAAUUUUAGAUUCCAUACACAUUCUCUCUUCUCUGUUAAAGCACCUCUCAUGGUCUCAUAGCUCAAAUGUGAUAUCAUCAAACCUAUCACUUAGAUUAUUGUGCUAUCUUAUUCUCGAGCGAGCUUUUGUUGAUUACAUAUCUAUAUGGGUUAUCCCUAGACCUAGAAAAGGGUCUAAAAUAUUUUCAACAUGGUUUACG